Molecule: unclassified non-coding RNA, 390 nt
Filed under: soil metagenome
Description: partial contains 5.8S ribosomal RNA, internal transcribed spacer 2, and large subunit ribosomal RNA
Rfam family: 5.8S ribosomal RNA (bases 1-120)
Source: RNAcentral
GAUGAAGAACGUAGCGAAAUGCGAUAAGUAAUGUGAAUUGCAGAAUUCAGUGAAUCAUCGAAUCUUUGAACGCACCUUGCGCUCCUUGGUAUUCCGAGGAGCAUGCCUGUUUGAGUGUCAUUAAAUUCUCAACCUUUCCAGCUUUUGCGAGUUUGGAUUGGCUUGAAUGUGGAGGUUUGCAGGCUUCUCAGAAGUCAGCUCCUCUUAAAUGCAUUAGCGGAACCUUUGUGGACCAGCUUUGGUGUGAUAAUUAUCUAUGCCAUGGUUGUGAAGCAGUUUUUAUAUGGGGUUCAGCUUCUAACAGUCCAUUGACUUGGACAAUUUCUGACAUUUUGACCUCAAAUCAGGUAGGACUACCCGCUGAACUUAAGCAUAUCAAUAAGCGGAGGA